AGUGAACGCUGGCGGUAGGCCUAACACAUGCAAGUCGAACGGCAGCACAGUAAGAGCUUGCUCUUACGGGUGGCGAGUGGCGGACGGGUGAGGAAUACAUCGGAAUCUACUUUUUCGUGGGGGAUAACGUAGGGAAACUUACGCUAAUACCGCAUACGACCUACGGGCGAAAGCAGGGGAUCUUCGGACCUUGCGCGAUUGAAUGAGCCGAUGUCGGAUUAGCUAGUUGGCGGGGUAAAGGCCCACCAAGGCGACGCUCCGUAGCUGGUCUGAGAGGAUGAUCAGCCACACUGGAACUGAGACACGGUCCAGACUCCUACGGGAGGCAGCAGUGGGGAAUAUUGGACAAUGGGCGCAAGCCUGAUCCAGCCAUACCGCGUGGGUGAAGAAGGCCUUCGGGUUGUAAAGCCCUUUUGUUGGGAAAGAAAAGCAGCAGGUUAAUACCCCGCUGUUCUGACGGUACCCAAAGAAUAAGCACCGGCUAACUUCGUG
This 492-nucleotide ribosomal RNA is filed under the name uncultured bacterium. RNAcentral describes it as "partial 16S ribosomal RNA". It matches the Rfam family "Bacterial small subunit ribosomal RNA", at positions 29 to 507 of the family's 1533-position model. The record is from RNAcentral.